AGGUGGGGAGGCAGUGGUUGAGGGUAUUGAAGUUGGCUCUGAAGGGAGUGGUAAUACGAAUACUGCCCAUGUUGGAAUGGUCACUUGUGUCGGCUAUUCCAGGACAGGAUGCCAAGUGGAGUGGAAAGCAGCAGUGGAGGCCCCCCAAAAGCUUUACUCACUUACUAUUUAGCUGCUAGAGUUCCUUCAUAAUAUACCUGAUAAGGUGAGCUCAGGUGUCCAAGAACACAAGAGCUAAUCUUACUCUUAAUUGUCUUCAAGACUCAUGGGGUCUGAAGAAGCCCAGUGUUUCUCAAACUUGAGUGUGCAGCAGAAUCACCUGGAGGGCUUGUUAAAACAGAUUGCUGGCCCCACGCCCAGAGUUUCUGAUUCAGCACGUAUGAGGUGGGAUCUGAUGCUGACGCUGCUGGUCCGGAGAUACAUUUGGGGAACCACUAAGAGGGGUCCUGGCACCCUGCGGGAAACCACAACUCAGCCACCAUUUAAAUCCGGGCAAGAUUCCGUGGGUGAGUAGCUUGCAGAGGAAAGGAGUGGAAUGAUUGGAACAGGAAGCAGAGAUGCAGGCCAGAGGAAAGAGCUUCAAAAGAACACAUGCAGAUGAUUCCUGAUGAGCCACAUGUGGUUCCCAGCUUUGAUGAAGACACUGAGGUUCAGAGAUGUUCAGCGAUUUCCCCCGAGUCACAGGGAGCAGGUUUCUCUUCUUCCAGACCUGCACCAUGACACCUGAUGGAUUUUUCUCUCCAGAACAUCCCUGGGAAUCAUUUCUGUCAGAUGCUUCACUGGAUGUCCCUUGGUUUUUACGCUCAUCUAUCCCCUUCUCCUCGAACCCCACCUCCCUGAAAUGGCAAUUUGCUAUUUUAAUUAUAGUUUCUCUUGCCGCACUUGAGGCUUUUUUCCUAUUGCGCUCCUCUACCUUGCUUAGAUUUUUAUCCUUUCUUCCAGGGCAGAGAAUUCAUUAAGAUUUCUAGAUUCCUCCAAUUUGCUUCCUUGAUGGUGAAUAAUUCUUCUUAGACUGUGUACAAUUCUGAUUGUUCAGAUGCUGAAUUAGGUGGCUGAGCAGCGGGACCAGGGUGCCCCGUGUGAACUGGUGGCCCCAUCCAAGUGCAGACUGAAUCAAUGCCCCAGAGCUGUGAGUCCCUGGGUCUGUCUGGAGUCCUGCAAUGGACCAUCUCCGAGACCUGAGGGGUGGCCCUAUGACAGCUGACCACAGGCCUCUGCCUCCUUUGCCAACAGGUGAGGGGUCCCAGGACUGUCUCUGGGUUCCAUGAGUUGCUCCUUGCAGGCUGGGCUGGGCUGGCCUUGACCAUAAACCAUCUGGGUCACCUGCAGCUGUUCCCCAGGUGCUUGCUGGGCCUGUGGGCUGAGGCUGCAGCUGGAAAUGAGUCUGGGCAGGAAGUGAACAGGGAAGUAGCUCAUGUGACCGGGAAGCUGAUGAGGCCUCCCAGCGAAGGGAGCACCAGAAAGCAGUUCUCCAAGGCAUUCCAGGCAUAGAAGCUGAGCCACUCACCACAGAGGGGGGCCACUUGAAAGCUGCUGCCCAUCCUGUUUACGCUCACAAACCUGCUCCUGUUCUCUCCUUCAGGAAGGUAUGUAGGUCAGUACUGGUGAAGGUCAUUUGCUGUGGGAGUGUGUAAACGUCAACUUUGAGCCUGGCUCAGUCAGAAACACGGGGUGCUCCAAGGUGACUUCAAAGUCCUGGGGAGAGCAUGGCACACUGAUAGCUGUGUAACCCGGGUGGGUCCCAUUACCGCCUGACCCUCAGGGCUGACAGAAUAUGAGGUCCCCGAAAGGCCGGUCAUGGGCCACACAGAUAUGAUUCCACGGGCGAGGACAGGCAAGGGACGUCAUCCUCCUGUUUGGGCCUUGCUCGCCUCAGUCUGUAAGGGAUUCAAGGCAAGAGACCCAGCUGGAAAAUGAAAAAAGGAAAAACAUUGAGAUCCUAAAGCAUAAGAUAAGGUCUGAGAUUGUCUCCAAUGGGAAUAAAGGAAUUAACAGGAGGGUGACCUGUAAAGCCAGGUGAAUAGAGAGAAUACAGAGGCAGAGGCCCUGGAGCAGGCUUCUCGGGGAACGUGCAAGAAGCAGACAAGCCUAUGCAUUCCCAGAGAACUUGCCUUCUCAUCCCAGAGGGUUCCUGACUUGGGAACGAGCCGGCACAGGCCUAUCCUAGAUGUGCAGAAUACCAAAUAAGAUGGCAGAAAAUAAGGCAAAAGUUUCCCAAAGUUGGGGGUCAUAUCAUUUUGUAGCAUGAUUCUGACACUCACUAGGUAGGCUUUGUAAAUUUUGCUCUUCUAUAUGAAAGAUUGGUUUGUGGGGUUGCCUCUUAUACUUCCUUUAAUAGGUCAAGGGCAGGAGCAGGGUCAGGGAGUGGCUUGGAGAGCUGUUUUUCUCUUUUCCUCUUUAUUAGCCAUUCCUCCCCACCCCAAAACACUAAAUACAAAUAAUGUU
Sus scrofa (pig) is the source of this 2445-nucleotide non-coding RNA. The record is from RefSeq and is a predicted model, not a curated record. NCBI's taxonomy places the organism in Eukaryota, Metazoa, Chordata, Mammalia, Artiodactyla, Suidae.